Molecule: ribosomal RNA, 413 nt
Filed under: uncultured bacterium
Lineage: Bacteria
Description: partial 16S ribosomal RNA
Rfam family: Bacterial small subunit ribosomal RNA
Source: RNAcentral
UGGGGAAUUUUGGACAAUGGGCGAAAGCCUGAUCCAGCAAUGCCGCGUGUGUGAAGAAGGCCUUCGGUUGUAAAGCACUUUUGUCCGGAAAGAAAUCCUUGGCUCUAAUACAGUCGGGGGAUGACGGUACCGGAAGAAUAAGCACCGGCUAACUACGUGCCAGCAGCCGCGGUAAUACGUAGGGUGCAAGCGUUAAUCGGAAUUACUGGGCGUAAAGCGUGCGCAGGCGGUUUGCUAAGACCGAUGUGAAAUCCCCGGGGCUCAACCUGGGAACUGCAUUGGUGACUGGCAGGGCUAGAGUAUGGCAGAGGGGGGUAGGAAUAUCCACGUGUAGCAGUGAAAUGCGUAGAGAUGUGGAGGAAUACCGAUGGCGAAGGCAGCCCCCUGGGGCCAAAUACUGACGCUCAUGCACG